Molecule: ribosomal RNA, 722 nt
Filed under: Alternaria sp. B22
Lineage: Eukaryota; Fungi; Ascomycota; Dothideomycetes; Pleosporales; Pleosporaceae
Description: eukaryotic LSU rRNA
Rfam family: 5.8S ribosomal RNA (bases 210-363)
Source: RNAcentral
AGCGUAACAAGGUCUCCGUAGGUGAACCUGCGGAGGGAUCAUUACACAAAUAUGAAGGCGGGCUGGAACCUCUCGGGGUUACAGCCUUGCUGAAUUAUUCACCCUUGUCUUUUGCGUACUUCUUGUUUCCUUGGUGGGUUCGCCCACCACUAGGACAAACAUAAACCUUUUGUAAUUGCAAUCAGCGUCAGUAACAAAUUAAUAAUUACAACUUUCAACAACGGAUCUCUUGGUUCUGGCAUCGAUGAAGAACGCAGCGAAAUGCGAUAAGUAGUGUGAAUUGCAGAAUUCAGUGAAUCAUCGAAUCUUUGAACGCACAUUGCGCCCUUUGGUAUUCCAAAGGGCAUGCCUGUUCGAGCGUCAUUUGUACCCUCAAGCUUUGCUUGGUGUUGGGCGUCUUGUCUCUAGCUUUGCUGGAGACUCGCCUUAAAGUAAUUGGCAGCCGGCCUACUGGUUUCGGAGCGCAGCACAAGUCGCACUCUCUAUCAGCAAAGGUCUAGCAUCCAUUAAGCCUUUUUUUCAACUUUGACCUCGGAUCAGGUAGGGAUACCCGCUGAACUUAAGCAUAUCAAUAAGCGGAGGAAAAGAAACCAACAGGGAUUGCCCUAGUAACGGCGAGUGAAGCGGCAACAGCUCAAAUUUGAAAUCUGGCUCUUUUAGAGUCCGAGUUGUAAUUUGCAGAGGGCGCUUUGGCUUUGGCAGCGGUCCAAGUUCCUUGGAAC